This 1824-nucleotide long non-coding RNA is filed under the name Sus scrofa (pig). RNAcentral's name for it is "lncRNA (ENSSSCG00070016909.1)". Lineage: Eukaryota; Metazoa; Chordata; Mammalia; Artiodactyla; Suidae. The record is from RNAcentral.
CUCGAGGGCCUGACACGGGGCUGGCAUGGAAGAGGUGCUUGGUAAGUGAUUACCAAACACAGGACCACUGGUGAGGUACUGCUGCCCCGGAUCCUCCUGCCACAGCCGCUGCUGGCUCAUCUUCCCAUCAUGUCCAAAGCCUUCUGCCUGCAAAGAUUCAUCGAGCCUAAGAGUUCCCGUUGUGGCACAAUGGAAACGAAUCCAACUAGGAACCAUGAGGUUGCGGGUUUGAUCCCUGGCCUUGCUCAGUGGGUUAAGGAUCUGGCGUUGCCAUGAGCUGUGGUGUGGGUCACAGACGCAGCUCGGAUCGCUGCUGUGGUUCUGGCGUAGGCCAGUGGCUACAGCUCUGAUUCGACCCCUAGCCUGGGAACCUCCAUAUGCCACAGGAGCAGCCCUAAAAAGACAAAAAAAAAAAAAAAAAAAAAAGAUUCAUCGAGCCCCUGCUUGGUACCCUGUGCUGGCCCCAGGGGCAGAGAGGCAGUGUAGUCCACGCCCACAGGAGCUUUUGGUCUGGGUGGGAAGUGUGGUACCCUGAGGCCACUGAGAGCCCUGUGAUGCUGCAUGUGGAACCUGGGACAACAACCACUCUUCUGUCUUUUCCUGACCUUGCAGAGUCACCUGCCAGAGGAACUCCACAGGGUCUCCUGCCCACUUUGCAAAUGGGGAAGCGAGCCGGGAGAGGUCAAGUGAGUCACCUGCCGUCCCCCAGGUCACUACGGACCCUGAAGUCCAGGCUACAGCCUCCCAUGCAAAUGCUUUUCAAGAAGGCAGGGGUGCCUCCCACUCCAGGACACCCCAAGAAUGCAGUCAGUAUUGCUAUUUAAGCACAGUCCAGGCUCAAGGUGCUGUGCUGGGGGCAGCCCGUGAUCCACGAGAAACACCCGUCUUGCCUCAGGCCGGCCGGAGGGGGCGGGGGGGGGUGGGGGGAGGCGGGGAUGAGCCCAUGUGGCUGCAUGUUAACCAAGAAUGCGAGGGAAAUGCCCAGUGGUUCAGACCAGGAAGAUAGUUUGCAAAAUUUUCACAAGAAAAUGCCCCCAGGGGAGAUUUAGUUAGAAAAGCAGCUCCCAGGGAGAUCCCUGGGGUCUCCUCAUUUCCCAGCCCUGACAACCCCCGCCUGCAACCCUGACUUCGCUGACGAGCCCGUAGCUGAAAAAGCGCAGAAUCAACAAAAUUAGAUGAUGUUGACAUCCCUGUGUCGGGCUUUCUCCUAGACCCGCGCUCUGCUGGCAGGAUGGGGGUGCUGUCCUGCCCAGGGCCCCCAGGGGCACCUGACUGUCACCAAGAAUCAAGGUGGGUGUGCAUGUGUGACGAAUGCACGCCUUCUUCUUUCUAAGGUUUUUCCAUUGCAGAGGUUGACCUCAAAAGGAGUAUCUCCUGGAGUCCCUGUUGUGACACAGUGGAAACGAAUCUCACUAGUAUCCAUGAGGAUGUGGGUUCGAUCCCUGGCUGCAAUCAGUGGGUUAAGGAUCUGGCAUUGCAGUGAGCUGUGGUGUAGGCCAGCAGCUGCAGCUCCAAUUCGACCCCUAGCCUGAGAACUUCCAUAUGCCACAGGUACGGCCCUAAAAAGUGGGGGGAAAAAAGAGUAUCUCCUUAAACUUUUGCUGUUCUUAUAGUAAGCUUUUGCUGAAAUCUGUUUCCUAUAUGUUACGUAUACAUAUAACAGAAAAGGAUGCAAAUCAUAAACCCAGUCAAUUUUCAUUAAAUUGUCUGGAAGGAAGAAAAGCUUACACUUCUAGGUUCUGCUGGCUGGUCUAAGAAUUAAAUUUACAUGAGGAUUAACAGGAGAAAAUCGCAUUAAAAAAAUUUUUUUUUUUUUUAUCUUUU